AAUCAACGCUGGCGGCGUGCCUCAGACAUGCAAGUCGAACGCGAAAGUCCCCUUCGGGGGACAAGUAGAGUGGCGCACGGGUGAGUAACACGUAGGUAAUCUACCUUUGGAUGGGGAAUAACAACCGGAAACGGUUGCUAAUACCGCAUAAUGCAGCGGCACCUAAGUGGUGAACAGUUGUUAAAGCGGGGGAUCGAAAGACCUCGCGUCUGAAGAGGAGCCUGGCGGCGGAUUAGCUAGNGGUAAGGUAAUGGCUUACCAAGGCUACGAUCCGUAACCGGCCUGAGAGGGCGGU
This 295-nucleotide ribosomal RNA is filed under the name uncultured bacterium. RNAcentral describes it as "partial 16S ribosomal RNA". It matches the Rfam family "Bacterial small subunit ribosomal RNA", at positions 32 to 304 of the family's 1533-position model. The record is from RNAcentral.